This 469-nucleotide unclassified non-coding RNA is filed under the name Hevea brasiliensis (rubber tree). Lineage: Eukaryota; Viridiplantae; Streptophyta; Magnoliopsida; Malpighiales; Euphorbiaceae. The record is from RNAcentral.
GCGCUUGCCACCUGAGGAGGAAUUCCUAAUUCAAGGAAAAGAGGUCCCAAGAUGAAGCCACCUCCUAGCCCAAGAAGUCCACCCACCAUGCCAGCCACUAUUAAAGCAAAAUCUGAAGAAACUUCCAGUUUGUGACUUCCUUUCCUUUGGAAGCUAUCACCCUGGUCCCUUUGCGCAAGCAUAUGGCUUCAAAAAGUGUAACUGAGGCAGCAAUUGGUACCUGCAAUGCGUUCAGAACCCAGUACGUGAUGGAGCACGUUUUAACGUAUGACUUAACGAUUUGAACUGCCAGAAAGCCCACCCAUACAUACACUAGCAGGGCUAACUCUUUCCAGUAAAUAUUUUGCAAUAGGGAGACCUCCUCGUCAUCAUUUGUCAGUGCAGCUGGUCCGCUUGGCAGGGGCUUGUAAUCUUGUCCCUCACCAUCACCUGGUUUGGACUCUGAUUCCAAUUGCUUGGCUGCUUCCUU